UGGGGUAUAUUGCACAAUGGGCGCAAGCCUGAUGCAGCCAUGCCGCGUGUAUGAAGAAGGCCUUCGGGUUGUAAAGUACUUUCAGCGGGGAGGAAGGGAGUAAAGUUAAUACCUUUGCUCAUUGACGUUACCCGCAGAAGAAGCACCGGCUAACUCCGUGCCAGCAGCCGCGGUAAUACGGAGGGUGCAAGCGUUAAUCGGAAUUACUGGGCGUAAAGCGCACGCAGGCGGUUUGUUAAGUCAGAUGUGAAAUCCCCGGGCUCAACCUGGGAACGGCAUCCGGAACUGGUAAGCUUGAGUCUCGUAGAGGGGGGUAGAAGUCCAGGUGUAGCGGUGAAAUGCGGAGAGAUCUGGAGGAAUACCGGUGGGGAAGGCGGCCCCCUGGACGAAGACUGACGCUAAGGUGCGAAAGCGUGGGGAGCAAACAGG
Molecule: ribosomal RNA, 429 nt
Filed under: Chloroflexota bacterium
Lineage: Bacteria; Bacillati; Chloroflexota
Description: Chloroflexi bacterium partial 16S ribosomal RNA
Rfam family: Bacterial small subunit ribosomal RNA
Source: RNAcentral